This 433-nucleotide long non-coding RNA is filed under the name Androctonus crassicauda. The record is from RNAcentral. Lineage: Eukaryota; Metazoa; Arthropoda; Arachnida; Scorpiones; Buthidae.
GAGAGAGAGUUCUUUACAACUUAAUGAGAAUGUACAAAAUAAUUCCCAACAAUAAGUUCAUACCUGAAGAUGAGGAGUAUUCUAGAGAUUCAGGUGUGUUGACUAUGAUGAUUUAUAGUUUGUCAGAAAACGGAAAAUUCUUAAUGGGUCUUUGUCGAGAGGACAAUUCGGAGUACUCCAUGGGAAAAGAAUCAGGUGCUGGAAAAAUCGUGAAGUCCACUAGGCGACGGGUCACGAUCACCAAUAUCCAGUUCCGAUGACAGUCGGAGACGGAGGCAGCGAAGAGCAAAUACCUAAAAAGGUCUUGAAGGAAAACUUUUUUGUCUUUCCUUAAAUUCCACUUUUAGCCUCUCUGCUGAGACACUUCCCACGAUAGACUUUAUAGUAUCUCUAAUAACUUGACCCUUCACUUCAGUUGGCGACAAGGAGAGCG